GUUUUUUAAAAAUCCUUCUUCAAACUUGUUUCCGUUUCGGCAGAAACCCACCGCCUACGAGCACCUUUGCCCAACCGAACUCCAGCCAUACACCACUGUAACCAUCGCCAUGCUUUGAUUAUACUCGUCGCAGCCGUGAAGCGUCGCUACCUUGGUGAAUAUCGUCGUCGUACAACUACCGUAGUCGCCGCCACCAAACUACCCGCCACUCGUAUUCCGUACGGUUCAGUCUGAUUCACGCCACUGGGAGUUACUCGUGUUUCACCGAUCUUGCCUCACUUUCGGAUAUGUUUCUGUUCGACUAUUAAGGUCAUGAUUGGGCUCUCGUAUUAUUGAGGACGACUUGUUUUGUUUUGCGUUUACCUUGCUUGGCUAAAUUAAGGUAAUUUGGGAAACGUGGGGAAUACGUGAAGAGUGUCGUGAAGAUAAAGAUGUAUUUUUAUU
Molecule: long non-coding RNA, 444 nt
Filed under: Helianthus annuus (common sunflower)
Lineage: Eukaryota; Viridiplantae; Streptophyta; Magnoliopsida; Asterales; Asteraceae
Description: sRNA HanXRQr2_Chr03g0095451
Source: RNAcentral